RNAcentral lists this ribosomal RNA (497 nucleotides) under uncultured bacterium. Its description in RNAcentral is "partial 16S ribosomal RNA". It matches the Rfam family "Bacterial small subunit ribosomal RNA", at positions 28 to 507 of the family's 1533-position model. The record is from RNAcentral.
GAUGAACGCUGGCGGCGUGCCUAAUACAUGCAAGUCGAGCGAACAGACGAGGAGCUUGCUCCUCUUACGUUAGCGGCGGACGGGUGAGUAACACGUGGAUAACCUACCUAUAAGACUGGGAUAACUUCGUGAAACCGGAGCUAAUACCGGAUAAUAUAUUGAACCGCAUUGUUCAAUAGUGAAAGACGGUUUUGCUGUCACUUAUAGAUGGAUCCGCGCCGCAUUAGCUAGUUGGUAAGGUAACGGCUUACCAAGGCAACGAUGCGUAGCCGACCUGAGAGGGUGAUCGGCCACACUGGAACUGAGACACGGUCCAGACUCCUACGGGAGGCAGCAGUAGGGAAUCUUCCGCAAUGGGCGAAAGCCUGACGGAGCAACGCCGCGUGAGUGAUGAAGGUCUUCGGAUCGUAAAACUCUGUUAUUAGGGAAGAACAAAUGUGUAAGUAACUAUGCACGUCUUGACGGUACCUAAUCAGAAAGCCACGGCUAACUACGUG